Molecule: ribosomal RNA, 253 nt
Filed under: uncultured bacterium
Lineage: Bacteria
Description: partial 16S ribosomal RNA
Rfam family: Bacterial small subunit ribosomal RNA
Source: RNAcentral
UACGUAGGGUGCAAGCGUUGUCCGGAAUUAUUGGGCGUAAAGAGCUCGUAGGCGGUCUGUCGCGUCGGCUGUGAAAUCUCCACGCUUAACGUGGAGCGUGCGGUCGAUACGGGCAGACUUGAGUUCGGUAGGGGAGACUGGAAUUCCUGGUGUAGCGGUGAAAUGCGCAGAUAUCAGGAGGAACACCGGUGGCGAAGGCGGGUCUCUGGGCCGAUACUGACGCUGAGGAGCGAAAGCGUGGGGAGCGAACAGG